Molecule: ribosomal RNA, 253 nt
Filed under: uncultured bacterium
Lineage: Bacteria
Description: partial 16S ribosomal RNA
Rfam family: Bacterial small subunit ribosomal RNA
Source: RNAcentral
UACGGGGGGGGCAAGCGUUGUUCGGAAUUACUGGGCGUAAAGGGCUCGUAGGUGGCCAACUAAGUCAGACGUGAAAUCCCUCGGCUUAACCGGGGAACUGCGUCUGAUACUGGAUGGCUUGAGUUCGGGAGAGGGAUGCGGAAUUCCAGGUGUAGCGGUGAAAUGCGUAGAUAUCUGGAGGAACACCAAUGGCGAAGGCAGCUCGCUGGGACGUGACUGACGCUGAGACGCGAAAGCGUGGGGAGCAAACAGG